RNAcentral lists this transfer RNA (62 nucleotides) under Orthocis pygmaeus. RNAcentral describes it as "tRNA-Gly". Lineage: Eukaryota; Metazoa; Arthropoda; Insecta; Coleoptera; Ciidae. The record is from RNAcentral.
ACUUAUAUAAUAUAAAAAUUAUAUUUGACUUCCAAUCGAAAAAUCUAACAAUAGUAUAAGUA